GGGACACGUGGUAUCCUGUCUGAAUAUGGGGGGACCAUCCUCCAAGGCUAAAUACUCCUGACUGACCGAUAGUGAACCAGUACCGUGAGGGAAAGGCGAAAAGAACCCCGGCGAGGGGAGUGAAAAAGAACCUGAAACCGUGUACGUACAAGCAGUGGGAGCACCCUUCGGGGUGUGACUGCGUACCUUUUGUAUAAUGGGUCAGCGACUUAUAUUCUGUAGCAAGGUUAACCGUAUAGGGGAGCCGGAGGGAAACCGAGUCUUAAUUGGGCGUUAAGUUGCAGGGUAUAGACCCGAAACCCGGUGAUCUAGCCAUGGGCAGGUUGAAGGUUGGGUAACACUAACUGGAGGACCGAACCGACUAAUGUUGAAAAAUUAGCGGAUGACCUGUGGCUGGGGGUGAAAGGCCAAUCAAACCGGGAGAUAGCUGGUUCUCCCCGAAAGCUAUUUAGGUAGCGCCUCGUGAAUUCAUCUCCGGGGGUAGAGCACUGUUUCGGCUAGGGGGCCAUCCCGGCUUACCAACCCGAUGCAAACUGCGAAUACCGGAGAAUGUUAUCACGGGAGACACACGGCGGGUGCUAACGUCCGUCGUGAAGAGGGAAACAACCCAGACCGCCAGCUAAGGUCCCAAAGUCAUGGUUAAGUGGGAAACGAUGUGGGAAGGCCCAGACAGCCAGGAUGUUGGCUUAGAAGCAGCCAUCAUUUAAAGAAAGCGUAAUAGCUCACUGGUCGAGUCGGCCUGCGCG
Molecule: ribosomal RNA, 746 nt
Filed under: Salmonella enterica subsp. enterica serovar Typhimurium
Lineage: Bacteria; Pseudomonadati; Pseudomonadota; Gammaproteobacteria; Enterobacterales; Enterobacteriaceae
Description: partial 23S ribosomal RNA
Rfam family: Bacterial large subunit ribosomal RNA
Source: RNAcentral